GAUGAACGCUAGCUACAGGCUUAACACAUGCAAGUCGAGGGGAAACGAUAGAGAGAGCUUGCUUUUUCUAGGCGUCGACCGGCGCACGGGUGAGUAACGCGUAUCCAACCUGCCCACCACUUGGGAAUAACCUUGCGAAAGUAAGACUAAUGCCCAAUGAUAUCUUUAGAAGACAUCUGAAGGAGAUUAAAGAUUUAUCGGUGAUGGAUGGGGAUGCGUCUGAUUAGCUUGUUGGCGGGGUAACGGCCCACCAAGGCGACGAUCGGUAGGGGUUCUGAGAGGAAGGUCCCCCACAUUGGAACUGAGACACGGUCCAAACUCCUACGGGAGGCAGCAGUGAGGAAUAUUGGUCAAUGGGCGAGAGCCUGAACCAGCCAAGUAGCGUGCAGGAUGACGGCCCUAUGGGUUGUAAACUGCUUUUAUAAGGGAAUAAAGUUAGUCUCGUGAGACUUUUUGCAUGUACCUUAUGAAUAAGGACCGGCUAAUUCCGUGCCAGCCGCCGCCGUAA
RNAcentral lists this ribosomal RNA (508 nucleotides) under uncultured bacterium. Its description in RNAcentral is "partial 16S ribosomal RNA". It matches the Rfam family "Bacterial small subunit ribosomal RNA", at positions 28 to 523 of the family's 1533-position model. The record is from RNAcentral.